ACGCUAGCUACAGGCUUAACACAUGCAAGUCGAGGGGAAACGGCAUUUAGUGCUUGCACUGAAUGGACGUCGACCGGCGCACGGGUGAGUAACGCGUAUCCAACCUUCCCAUUACUUUGGGAUAACCUGCCGAAAGGCAGACUAAUACCUCAUAGUCUUCGAUGACGGCAUCAGAUUUGAAGUAAAGAUUUAUCGGUAAUGGAUGGGGAUGCGUCUGAUUAGCUUGUUGGCGGGGUAACGGCCCACCAAGGCAACGAUCAGUAGGGGUUCUGAGAGGAAGGUCCCCCACAUUGGAACUGAGACACGGUCCAAACUCCUACGGGAGGCAGCAGUGAGGAAUAUUGGUCAAUGGACGUAAGUCUGAACCAGCCAAGUAGCGUGCAGGAUGACGGCCCUAUGGGUUGUAAACUGCUUUUGUAUGGGGAUAAAGUCAAUCACGUGUGAUUGUUUGCAGGUACCAUACGGAUAAGGACCGGCUAAUUCCGUGCCAGCAGCCGCGGUAAUACGGAAGGUUCGGGCGUUAUCCGGAUUUAUUGGGUUUAAAGGGAGCGUAGGCCGGAGAUUAAGUGUGUUGUGAAAUGUAGACGCUCAACGUCUGAAUUGCAGCGCAUACUGGUUUCCUUGAGUACGCACAACGUUGGCGGAAUUCGUCGUGUAGCGGUGAAAUGCUUAGAUAUGACGAAGAACUCCGAUUGCGAAGGCAGCUGACGGGAGCGCAACUGACGCUGAAGCUCGAAGGUGCGGGUAUCGAACAGGAUUAGAUACCCUGGUAGUCCGCACAGUAAACGAUGGAUGCCCGCUGUUGGUACCUAGUAUCAGCGGCUAAGCGAAAGCAUUAAGCAUCCCACCUGGGGAGUACGCCGGCAACGGUGAAACUCAAAGGAAUUGACGGGGGCCCGCACAAGCGG
Molecule: ribosomal RNA, 908 nt
Filed under: uncultured bacterium
Lineage: Bacteria
Description: bacterial SSU rRNA
Rfam family: Bacterial small subunit ribosomal RNA
Source: RNAcentral